CGAUCCAACAGCCUCGAAUCCUCCUUUUGUUGAAGGACACUCCCUUCUGAUGGCGAAUGGAAACUCCCUUCCUGCUGCAGCAGCCGGCCGGCCCAGGUCCGGGUAGGACAGGGUGGCCGCUGUAGACUGUUGCGGCUGCCGUGGCCCCAGAGAGAAAGUGCCCCAGAGCC
Molecule: non-coding RNA, 170 nt
Organism: Myotis davidii
Lineage: Eukaryota; Metazoa; Chordata; Mammalia; Chiroptera; Vespertilionidae
Source: Rfam